This is a long non-coding RNA of Oncorhynchus keta (chum salmon), 801 nucleotides long. RefSeq lists it as uncharacterized. NCBI's taxonomy places the organism in Eukaryota, Metazoa, Chordata, Actinopteri, Salmoniformes, Salmonidae. The transcript has 2 exons. The record is from RefSeq and is a predicted model, not a curated record.
CUAUAUUACUCUGCUGUCAACAGACUGACCUAGAGGUAGUUGUGGGUCUAUAUUACUCUGCUGUCAACAGACUGAGCUAGACUGACCUAGAGGUAGUUGUGGGUCUAUAUUACUCUGCUGUCAACAGACUGAGCUAGACUGACCUAGAGGUAGUUGUGGGUCUAUAUUACUCUGCUGUCAACAGACUGACCUAGAGGUAGUUGUGGGUCUAUAUUACUCUGCUGUCAACAGACUGACCUAGAGGUAGUUGUGGGUCUAUAUUACUCUGCUGUCAACAGACUGACCUAGGGGUAGUUGUGGGUCUAUAUUACUCUGCUGUCAACAGACUGAGCUAGACUGACCUAGAGGUAGUUGUGACUAUAUUUUGCAAAAGUACUUCCCAAAAUUCACCAGAUUUCCAUAAAUCCCAGGUUGUAGGAUUCCCAGAUUCCCCUUCUCGAUUUUAGGAAUCUGGGAUUAAUAUAUAUAUAUAGAUAAUAAAAUAAAAAUAUAUAAGGGGGGGCAUGUCUUAUGGCACCUGAAUUAAUUAUAUUUACACAAUUAUGACAAUCUGUGAAUGUUGUUGUUAGUUGAGCUGGACUGGGGGUAGAGAUGCACUGGAUGUCGUUACGUAUUGGAUUUAAAAGGUUUGAUGCAUUGCACUGUGAAGAUCCAUCCAUCUGUUACCUGGUUUUCUGCAAGGACCUCUGUUUUCAUUUAAACUACCAGCUGAAGGAAUACCGGAGGGACAUUUUUUUAUUUUUUCCCCCUCUUGUUUUGAAGAUGAUUUAAAAAAAUAAAAAAUUCUGCAAAAAUAAAAAA